This 784-nucleotide ribosomal RNA is filed under the name uncultured bacterium. Its description in RNAcentral is "SSU rRNA". It matches the Rfam family "Bacterial small subunit ribosomal RNA", at positions 70 to 853 of the family's 1533-position model. The record is from RNAcentral.
CACAGUGUAGCAAUACAUGGGUGGCGACCGGCAAACGGGUGCGGAACACGUACGCAACCUUCCUUCAGGCGGGGAAUAGCCCAGAGAAAUUUGGAUUAAUACCCCAUAAUAUUUUGAGAUGGCAUCAUCUUAUUAUUAAAGCUACGGCACCUGGAGAUGGGCGUGCGGCUGAUUAGGUAGUUGGCGGGGUAAUGGCCCACCAAGCCUACGAUCAGUAGCUGAUGUGAGAGCAUGAUCAGCCACACGGGCACUGAGACACGGGCCCGACUCCUACGGGAGGCAGCAGUAAGGAAUAUUGGUCAAUGGACGCAAGUCUGAACCAGCCAUGCCGCGUGGAGGAUGAAGGUCCUCUGGAUUGUAAACUUCUUUUAUCUGGGACGAAAAAAGGGUUUUCUAACUCGUCUGACGGUACCAGAUGAAUAAGCACCGGCUAACUCCGUGCCAGCAGCCGCGGUAAUACGGAGGGUGCAAGCGUUAUCCGGAUUCACUGGGUUUAAAGGGUGCGUAGGCGGGCAUUUAAGUCAGUGGUGAAAUACCUGAGCUUAACUUGGGAACUGCCAUUGAUACUAUUUGUCUUGAAUGUCGUGGAGGUUAGCGGAAUAUGUCAUGUAGCGGUGAAAUGCUUAGAUAUGACAUAGAACACCUAUUGCGAAGGCAGCUAACUACGCGAAUAUUGACGCUGAGGCACGAAAGCGUGGGGAUCAAACAGGAUUAGAUACCCUGGCAGUCCACGCCCUAAACGAUGAUUACUCGACAUUAGCGAUACACUGUUAGUGUCUGAGCG